Molecule: small nuclear RNA, 143 nt
Organism: Microcebus murinus (gray mouse lemur)
Lineage: Eukaryota; Metazoa; Chordata; Mammalia; Primates; Cheirogaleidae
Gene: U4
Rfam family: U4 spliceosomal RNA
About the family: U4 small nuclear RNA (U4 snRNA) is a component of the major U2-dependent spliceosome. The structure of U4 snRNA from yeast and human has been reported.
Source: Ensembl
AGAUUUGCACACAAUGGCAGCAUCAUAAUCAAUGAGGUUUAUUCGAGGCUCCAUUAUUGCUGCUUGAAAACUUUUCCCAUUACCCUCCGGUGAUAACUUGCAAUAUAGUCAGCAUUGGCAAUUUUUGACAGUCUCUAUGGAGA